Long non-coding RNA from Esox lucius (northern pike), 2422 nucleotides. NCBI's taxonomy places the organism in Eukaryota, Metazoa, Chordata, Actinopteri, Esociformes, Esocidae. The record is from Ensembl.
GCACCUCCGAGGGUAUAAGACCCUGCUGUGACACCAUAUUUAGGAAAUAAUUACAUAGGCAGCAAGAGGACAGAAAGCACUGGGACAAGCCAUAAGGGAUACAUAGAGUUACAUAGGGACUACAUAGUGACUAUAGAAGCCAUACGGGGUACAUAGUGAUACAUAGAGACUAUAGUACAAGCCGUAAGGUAUACCACGAGAUAGAUAGGGACUAUAUAGAGACUGUAUCAGAAGCCAUAAGGGAUACACAGUGGUGCAUAGGGACUAUAUUAUACGACAUACAUGGUGAUACAUUGAGAAUAUACUGGAAGCCAUAAGGAAUACAUAGUGAUACAUAAAGACUACACUACAUAGGCGCUAUAUUAGAAGCCAUAAGGAAUACAUAGUUAUACAUAGGUACUACGUGGGUAAUUUCAGCAUGUUGGUGGUGUGUGUUGCUGUGAUCUUCAGUCUGGGUUCAAUGUGUCAGACGGCUCCUGUUUCUCAAACCUGCGAGACUCUUCUGAAACCUCUAGAGAUGAAAACCAUAGAUCCGUAUGUGUACUACAACACCUGGUAGAAGCAAGCCUCUCUGUCGUUAAAGGUGUUUUGUGGAGCCGCGCUGUUUGUUGAUGUGUUAAAUAAACACAUCAGUAGCAAGAGGGAGUUUUGUAGCUUUACUGUUGAUAGGAAAAUGGUCCAUUAUAGCAUCUAGUAACAACCAACCAGGUGCCGGCACUGUGGUUGGCCUUUUCAUGGAUAACAUUUGGUCAGACAUGUCACCAGGGACCCACCCCGACAUGCUCAAAGACACUCUUUACAUGAAAACAUGGGAUGGAAGAUGUUCCAGUUACAAUCUCAACAUGACCCUGGAAAACAACAAGCUCAGCUGGACCUAUGUUGUCCCUUCUUCCGCGGUCUUCCUGCCUACUUGUCCGGACUGUCUUUUGACCCGGACUUCCACCAUCAUCCAUGGAAACACCUACAGCUCUCUGGAAUUCACCAGUAAGAGAAGAGAACUCUCUGCUAGUGACCUGUUGCAGUUCAAGACCCAGGUUGACUGCCUCAACUUGCCAGCUGCCGUUUUCCUCAACACAAAGACAGAGCAUUGUCCAGAGAGCACCGAACCAUUGCCUGAAAUGGAAGACAUCUACAACAAGACGAUAGCCUUAAUGGAGACAGAUAUUUUCAAGUUUUUUUUGAGGGCCACAGAUUAUCUUAUUAAGAAGGCAGACUGGGUGGGAUGGCUUUAAAGGAAUUGUUAACGUGGUGUGUUAGAUCUUUCCAAUUUCCAAUGAAUAGAAUCAGGUGUAUUUAGCUGCACUUAAUGAAAGCGGCGUUAGUAGAACCAUUUAGACUGUUUGUCUCCAUAAGGAUCCCCAUUACUGACCUUGCAAAGUGUAACUUCUCAUGGAACUUAAGGACAUCCAUCAAAAACAACACCUGAUGAAGGUCUGAAAUGCGUUUUACUAUCUAUAAUUGUUGUGAUACUGGAGGUUUGCAACAGGUUGUAUCAGCAGUUUUAUGCAUGAGAAUGAAAGUUUAUAUGAUAUGACUGGCUUGUCAUUCUGUGUCCAUAAAGGCCUUCCAAUAACCACAUUUAUAUUGUUGUUGGUAUUUAUUCAGGGAUCCAUGCAGCUCCUCAAACAACCAUUGAUAAUCUGUAACAUGUUCACACAGCUUUAUUACAUUGGUUGUUAUUGUUAGCAUUAGCAGAAUCUAUAUUUUCUUCUACAUUUGUCUCACACCUUUUCAUCCUGUUUUCCCUUCAAUGAUUUUCAGUCCCUCCCAUUCACUCCCACUCCUCCUAACCCUCCCAUUCACUCCCACUCCUCCUAACCCUCCCAUUCACUCCCACUCCUCCUAACCCUCCCAUUCACUCCCACUCCUCCUAACCCUCCCAUUCACUCCCACUCCUCCUAAUCCUCCCAUUCACUCCCACUCCUCCUAACCCUCCCAUUCACUCCCACUCCUCCUAACCCUCCCAUUCACUCCCACUCCUCCUAACCCUCCUAAAGAAGGAAGAACCUCUCCAGACAUCCAUUGGUACAAUGUCAGUAGUUAACCCAAUCAAUGUCAACCUCCACCCGACCACCCAAUCAAUGUCAACCUCCACCCGACCACACAAUCAAUGUCAACCUCCACCCGACCACACAAUCAAUGUCAACCUCCACCUAACCACCCAAUCAAUGUCAACCUCCACCCGACCACACAAUCAAUGUCAACCUCCACCCGACCACACAAUCAAUGUCAACCUCCACCCGACCACACAAUCAAUGUCAACCUCCACCCGACCACCCAAUCAAUGUCAACCUCCACCUAACCACACAAUCAAUGUCAACCUCCACCUAACCACCCAAUCAAUGUCAACCUCCACCUAACCACCCAAUCAAUGUCAACCUCCACCCGACCACACAAUCAAUGUCAACCUCCACCCGACCAC